UGAUUGCGGUAAUGAUCGCAUUAUUAUGAACAUCUAAGGGACUGAGUUCUUCUAUCCAUUGUGUUUUAGUUUUCUUUUUGUCUUGGUGGCUUUUACAUGAUAGAAAGAUUCAGGCUUUGAAUAUAUUUUAGAUGUGAAGCUUGUUGUGAAGUGUAAUUGCCUACAUUGAAUUUAGUUUCCCUCGCUAUCCUGUUCUUCAAUUUUCAAUGAUGUUUCUUAGGACGUCGGGGAACAAUAUGUUUUAUAUUGAUGUUUUGUUAUUUUGC
RNAcentral lists this small RNA (266 nucleotides) under Arabidopsis thaliana (thale cress). Its description in RNAcentral is "ATSL176600". The stretch from base 86 to 240 matches the Rfam family "Small nucleolar RNA snoR136". The record is from RNAcentral. Lineage: Eukaryota; Viridiplantae; Streptophyta; Magnoliopsida; Brassicales; Brassicaceae.